RNAcentral lists this ribosomal RNA (1452 nucleotides) under Microbotryum saponariae. RNAcentral describes it as "LSU rRNA". It matches the Rfam family "Eukaryotic large subunit ribosomal RNA", at positions 58 to 1100 of the family's 3401-position model. Lineage: Eukaryota; Fungi; Basidiomycota; Microbotryomycetes; Microbotryales; Microbotryaceae. The record is from RNAcentral.
AAAGAAACUAACAAGGAUUCCCCUAGUAACGGCGAGUGAAGCGGGAAAAGCUCAAAUUUGUAAUCUGGCGCCUUGGGCGUCCGAGUUGUAAUCUCGAGAAGUAUUUUCCGCGCUGGACCGCACAUAAGUCUGUUGGAAUACAGCGUCAUAGUGGUGAGAACCCCGUAUAGGGUGCSGAUGCCCAGUGCUUUGUGAUAUACUUUCGAAGAGUCGAGUKGUUUGGGAWUGCAGCUCAAAUUGGGUGGUAAAUUCCAUCUAAAGCUAAAUAUUGGCGAGAGACCGAUAGCGAACAAGUACCGUGAGGGAAAGAUGAAAAGCACUUUGGAAAGAGAGUUAACAGUACGUGAAAUUGUUGGAAGGGAAACGCUUGAAGUCAGACUUGCAUUUUGGAGUUCAGCCGCAAGGUGUAUUCUUCAAUUCGCAGGCCAGCAUCAGUUUUUGGGGGUGGAAAAGCGCGGUUCGAAGGUAGCAGUCUCGGCUGUGUUAUAGCUUGCCGCUGGAUCACUUUUGGGGACUGAGGAACGCAGUACACUUUUUGCAAGAUUCUCGGAUCUUUCGUACUUAGGAUGCUGGUGGAAUGGCUUUAAACGACCCGUCUUGAAACACGGACCAAGGAGUCUAACAUGCUUGCGAGUGUUUGGGUGUUAAACCCGGACGCGUAAUGAAAGUGAAUGGAGGUGGGAUCCGCAAGGUGCACCAUCGACCGAUCUGGAUUUUCUAAGAUGGAUUUGAGUAAGAGCAAUUAUGUUGGGACCCGAAAGAUGGUGAACUAUGCCUGAAUAGGGUGAAGCCAGAGGAAACUCUGGUGGAGGCUCGUAGCGGGUUCUGACGUGCAAAUCGAUCGUCAAAUUUGGGUAUAGGGGCGAAAGACUAAUCGAACCAUCUAAUGUUGCUUGGUGGUUAAUAGGGACUUCAAAGUAGAGCCCUAGUGGGAGUGGUAACUUGCGACACUUUCAAAUUGCGGGGACGCCCUUAGAGCUCUGAUUACGGCGGCUCAUCGAAAGAUAGAGUGCAGCAGCAGGUUAAUGGCCUCGCGGAUCGUAAAAACAUCAGAGAUUGGGUAAUCCGCAGCCAAGUCCUAAAGGGUACCUUUCAGCUACCCCAUGGAUGCAGUUCAUCGACUAAAUGGAAGUGGGUGCCCUUCCUUUACCGGAAGGGUGCUUGAGAUAUAGUCAGCCCCUCGUGAGAGCGAGCUAAUGGGACUAAGAGUCGCUUCGUUUUUACCACUUGCAAACGACGAUUCCCGAGCCCAUUGGGGUCUAAGAGGAAAUAGUAAAACUCGAAGACUGGAUUACGUGCUAGUAGCUGGUUCCUGCCGAAGUUUCCCUCAGGAUAGCAGAAACUCACAUCAGUUCUAUGAGGUAAAGCGAAUGAUUAGAGGCCUUGGGGUUGAAACAACCUUAACCUAUUCUCAAACUUUAAAUAUGUAGGAAGUCCUUGCUACUGAUGAGC